UAUUUUGUCGCUCAGUGAAUUUGGAAUUGGACAGCACCUUUUUUUAAGAGACCUACAGGUCGUUGACUGAAACCCCAAAACUAUCAAAUUUAUUUUAAAGUGCAGCGGAAAAAAUAUAUAUAUCAGACUAAAAUUGUGAAAAAUGUAUUUAUCGUACGAUUGAUGCAAUCCAAAACAUAAUAAUGCCAGGCGGUAUUAACAACGGUAUUCAACAAAAUUUGAAAAAUAUUCUGUCCAAUACUGUUGUGUUAGCCUACAACGUCGAUUUAUUAAAACAUGAAAGCAAUUUUUAUGGAGCCUUAUUAUGUAGAUGCAAUCGACAAUAAGAAUGGCAAUGGUGAGGAACUACUCCGAAAGGCCUUGCCGCUGCAAAAAAAACGUUUUUUUAAUUACGCCGCCAUUACCAAAAAAAAAAAAACGACUUAGAUACUACUAAGAACAUUAUUGAUGAAUGAAAUCUCUUAAUUUUUGUAUUGUAUUAAAAUUGAGUCAAUGAAGACAUUAAUUAAAAAAUAAAAUGUAUAAUUAUUCAAA
Drosophila teissieri is the source of this 534-nucleotide long non-coding RNA. RefSeq lists it as uncharacterized. Lineage: Eukaryota; Metazoa; Arthropoda; Insecta; Diptera; Drosophilidae. The transcript is spliced from 3 exons. The record is from RefSeq and is a predicted model, not a curated record.